This 1168-nucleotide ribosomal RNA is filed under the name Dotilla wichmanni. RNAcentral describes it as "partial 16S ribosomal RNA". Lineage: Eukaryota; Metazoa; Arthropoda; Malacostraca; Decapoda; Dotillidae. The record is from RNAcentral.
GAGAAAAGUUAUAAUUCUUGUUUAUUAAAAAAUAAAAGUCAUUGAUUGGAAAAAUAAUUUAAGAGAAAUUUAAAGUAGUGUUUGACCAAAAAAAGGAAAAAACUAUAGGUUAUAAGUACUGUGAGGGAAAGAAAAGUAAAGACCAAAUAAAUGUGAAUAGAAUAUAUGAAUUAUUAUACCUUGUGUAUUAGGGGUAAUCAAUAUAAUUUAAGGAGUAAUUAAGUAUCUCGAAACAAAAACAGCUAAUUUUAUAAAAUUGUCUUUGUAAAAAAAAAGUGUUUAAUAUAAAAUUAAAGGUGAUAUGCUAUCCGAGUUUUGUAAUAUCUAGUUUCUUUAGAUUUAAAUUUAAUUUAGAGCUUAGGGACAAAAAGGUUUAUACCUAAGGCUGGAGUAUAGGAGGGAUUAGCUUCUUAUAUAUAAGAAUUGAAAAGUUUUAUAAGUAUUUAAGAUGUUAAAUUAAGCUUAAAAGUAGCUAUAUUAAUAAAGUGUUAUAACUAAAUGUUAAUAGUAGAAUAUUUAUAUUUGCUGUCUAGUUUAUAAAGAAAUUACGCGAAAUAUUAAAGAGUGAGAUAUAAUGGUUAUAUUAGUAGAGUUUAUUGUAGUCAGAGGUGUAAAUAUAAAAAUAAGUUAUAAAAGAAACGUGAAAAUAUAAAGGAACUCGGCAAGCAGUUUUCUUGCCUGUUUAUCAAAAACAUGUCUGUUUGGAGGUAUAAAAAGUCUGGCCUGCCCACUGAUAAAACAUUAAAGGGCCGCGGUAUUUUGACCGUGCAAAGGUAGCAUAAUCGUUAGGUUUUUAAUUGAGAUCUUGUAUGAAGGGUUUGACAAAGAAAAUCCUGUCUCUAUAUUUGGUAAUUGAAAUUAACUUUUGAGUGAAAAGGCUUAGAUGAAUUAAAAAGACGAUAAGACCCUAUAAAACUUUAUACAAAUGGUUUAUUUAGUUAGAUUUGAAAAUAAUAAAGAUUUAAUAAAAGGUUAGUAUUAUAUUGGGGCGAUAAAAAUAAAAUGAUUAGUAACUGUUUAAAAUUGAAAUUACUUAUAGGUAAAAUAAGUAAAUGAUCCUUAUUAAAGAUUAGAAGUUUAAGUUACUUUAGGGAUAACAGCGUUAUUUUUUUUGAGAGUUCUUAUCGAAAAAAGAGUUUGCGACCUCGAUUUUGAAUUAAAGUGUCUG